UAACAAUAAAUGAACAUGUUUGUGUUUGGAGAUUGCUGAGGUUAAUAUCUUCACAAUUGGGAAAUCCCAACAUAAGUUGACUGCCAGUUUGACCACUGAUCUGCAUAAUAUCAGUGGGAGAGCAUGCUGAAUCCCGCAGCUUCUGCACCAUAUGUUUCCUGGCUGAGUGGUUGAAAGUUGCGACAACACAUUCCAUGGGUGAUGAUAUCUACCAAAAUUCUUGGCGGCACAGUUCUACCCUCGUCAGUUGCACUUGUCCGAGUCUUUCUCUGCCUCUCAUCCAACUCGAGAUACCCCCCCCCCCCCCCAACUGCAUGCCGGCACAGCUUCACAUCAACCCAUCUAAUUAAUUUGUCGGAAAGGUUGACUACACAAAUUUCCUGUUUGGUUGUGGAGAUAGAAUCAUUUUUUUGUGAAAGUUUGAUUUCAGACAUUUAAAAAUUGAAAUUGUCAUGUAUUAUUAGGCAUGGCAGGCAUCAGCAAAGCAUCUCAAUCAAGUAUUAAUUAUUUUACUUUGUCAAUGUCAAUUCAUUGUGUAUGCUAUUCAUCUGUUUGCCUUGCAUUUUAUAAGAAUGACACAAACAAGGAAAGCAUUUGUAAAGUAUUAGUUUUUUUUUAUAUAUAUAUAAAUUAAUCUUAGACGAGAUGUUUAGUGAAUAUUUGUCAUAAAUUCUUCUUUAACUUGAUCAAAUCUGUCAUAUUUUAUUUAAAACGUGUUAAGUAUUUUUGUGUUACGUUUUAAAUGUUUAUCAUUACUGUUUUACAUUGUAUUCAUCAGCAGCCAGUGAAUGGUAGCGGUGCACAUUUGUAUUUGUUUAAUUUUUUUCCAUUGAUCAAUGCUCAUUUAAUUUAUAUUUCCCUAUAUAUAUAUAUACUUAAUAAGGUGUUAGUUUUGUUUAAAAAAACAACUU
Long non-coding RNA from Dreissena polymorpha, 911 nucleotides. RefSeq lists it as uncharacterized. The record is from RefSeq and is a predicted model, not a curated record. The transcript has 3 exons. NCBI's taxonomy places the organism in Eukaryota, Metazoa, Mollusca, Bivalvia, Myida, Dreissenidae.